Molecule: non-coding RNA, 89 nt
Filed under: Pseudomonas sp. URMO17WK12:I11
Lineage: Bacteria; Pseudomonadati; Pseudomonadota; Gammaproteobacteria; Pseudomonadales; Pseudomonadaceae
Source: RNAcentral
UGUUAUGGCGGCUGUGCGCGGGAGACCUUCAGGUCUGCCGGGUGUGAUGGUGGUCCGGUUUUUCCAGUCCGCGCACAGUUGCCACCCUU